UGACCUCGGAUCAGGUAGGAAUACCCGCUGAACUUAAGCAUAUCAAUC
RNAcentral lists this ribosomal RNA (48 nucleotides) under Colletotrichum truncatum. RNAcentral's name for it is "partial 28S ribosomal RNA". Lineage: Eukaryota; Fungi; Ascomycota; Sordariomycetes; Glomerellales; Glomerellaceae. The record is from RNAcentral.